GAGGCAAGGGAUUAGUCCGACCUUUGGUGGUCUUUAAUCCUCUUGCCUCGUCCUUGAGUGGUGCUUCUUGGUAUUAAGUUAUCGAGGAGAUAGCCGCUCAUCGUUUACUGUGAGAAAAUUAGAGUGUUCAAAGCAGGCUUAUGCCGUUGAAUAUAUUAGCAUGGAAUAAUAAGAUAGGACCUCGGUACUAUUUUGUUGGUUUGAGAACCAAGGUAAUGAUGAAUAGGGACAGUUGGGGGUAUUCGUAUUCAGUUGUCAGAGGUGAAAUUCUUAGAUUUACGGAAGACGAACUACUGCGAAAGCAUUUACCAAGGAUGUUUUCAUUAAUCAAGAACGAAAGUAUGGGGAUCGAAGAUGAUUAGAUACCAUCGUAGUCUAUACCAUAAACUAUGCCGACUCAGGAUUGUCAGGUGUCUUUUGACCUUGGCAGCACUGUGUGAGAAAUCAAAGUCUUUGG
This 457-nucleotide ribosomal RNA is filed under the name uncultured eukaryote. RNAcentral describes it as "SSU rRNA". It matches the Rfam family "Eukaryotic small subunit ribosomal RNA", at positions 643 to 1110 of the family's 1831-position model. The record is from RNAcentral.